AUACGUAGGUGGCGAGCGUUGUCCGGAUUUACUGGGCGUAAAGGGAGCGUAGGCGGAUUCUUAAGUGGGAUGUGAAAUACCCGGGCUUAACCUGGGUGCUGCAUUCCAAACUGGGAAUCUAGAGUGCAGGAGGGGAGAGUGGAAUUCCUAGUGUAGCGGUGAAAUGCGUAGAGAUUAGGAAGAACACCAGUGGCGAAGGCGACUCUCUGGACUGUAACUGACGCUGAGGCUCGAAAGCGUGGGGAGC
Molecule: ribosomal RNA, 247 nt
Filed under: uncultured bacterium
Lineage: Bacteria
Description: partial 16S ribosomal RNA
Rfam family: Bacterial small subunit ribosomal RNA
Source: RNAcentral